This 3011-nucleotide long non-coding RNA is filed under the name Chlamydomonas reinhardtii. RNAcentral describes it as "long non-coding RNA (CREI_LNC000295)". Lineage: Eukaryota; Viridiplantae; Chlorophyta; Chlorophyceae; Chlamydomonadales; Chlamydomonadaceae. The record is from RNAcentral.
GGGCGACCUCGGGGCUUCUCGGCAUUCUGGCGCGUCGGCAGGCAUGGCUCAGCAAGUCGCUCAAAACUUUCGAUAUACUUCCCCGCUUUGCUUGCCGCCAACAUAGUUUGCCUUAGAGACUGCAUAUACAGCCACUCCAGUCGGUCAGGUAUGGACACAAUUGGUCCACCAGUCAACUAGUCUCCAGCCGUGCUGCCCUUGGUCCCCUCCGCCGCAAACCCCUCAACCAGCCCCCACCAGCCCCCCGUCCAACCACAACCCCUUAACAGCCCAGGACUGCAACACGUCUGAAGGCAGCCAGCCGCGCCCUGCUGCUUACCCUGCUGGUCACGCGGUUGCCCCGCAUCUGGCGCGCUCCUGCUGCCGCCUCCUGAGGUUACAGGCCGAUUUAGGCGUUUAUCCGGGAGCGGGGAGGUCCUUGGGUUCAAUUGCAACCCAGCAGGGAAAUUGCCCGCGCUAGGGUUAUCCGUGAAGCCGGGCGUGCGCAACCUCUUUCCAGACCAACGUCGCCACCCGCACCUUUCAGCGAUAGCACGUAGUCUACGUAGGCAGGCAGCAGCCCCGCGUCUUUCAGGCCUUUGUGUGUGGCAAUUUGCAGGAGGUCUUCGGAGCGAUAGCCGGCCUUCCACAGCGCGUCCACAGCGCUAUCGUCUAGUUGCUUCAGGUCAGCCCCAAAGCCUCCAAGAACAGAGCACAUCUGCUCCCGCUCCGCCGGACUCACAGCCGUCAUAUUGUGCUGGACGCUGGCGCCAGGAGAGAUGCUGAGCACGACGAUUUAAUAUCAAUUCAUUCCCUUGCGACUUGCAACUGGCUGGCCUAGACGGUCUGCGAUGGGCCUCUAUCAAACCGGGAAACAAGGUAGCAGCUAUCACGCAAAAUGUCUUGGUAAAGAUAGCGGUUUGAGGCGGCCCAAUGGGCAGCGGGGCUUGAGUUGAGCUCAAGUCUUCAUCCGCAGCCUUCAUCGCGCCAAACCGUGCUGCAGUAGCUAUCACCGCCGCCAUCUAUGGUCGCACGGCUGCGCCGCCGGGCUGACACGCCAUGCGGCUGUGGCCGCGUAUGAGGGGGCCCUCGCCGACACCGUGCGGGAGAAGGGGUGCCGUGCGAAGAUGUGGAAGACUGGUCCGAGUCAAGGACUCCUGCGGUCACAGCCAUGACAGGAUGCGCCGGCGGCGACAUGGAUGCGCCGGCGACAUGGAUGCAGGAGAUCCGGUGUGUCGGGGCCCUGCAAUUUCAUAGUGGUGUUUGCGAUAUGGUUCACAGCGGCAGCGGCAGUCCUGCUCACCAUGUGCUGAGAUGCGCCUAGGGCUUGUGUCAUAGGGUAGCAUGUGUCUGCAUGUGCUUCAGGUAUUUUUGGGCUGAGCCCUCCGAGCGCUAUAUACCUGUAUUAUAUGACCCGUCCUUCCUUGCGCCUCCCGCCCCAGUUUUGCUCCCGGUCCGGUCACAAUCGGGCUGGCAAGUUUCGGCGCUUCCUCGCCUCCCAUUCCUUGCUUCCAGGCUGUGUCAAAGCAAUUCAUCCUGCCCAUUGCACGUGCUCAUAAACUCUCCCCAGCAAUUCAUGGCCCUGUACGCAAGCUUGCUCCAACCAUGGGGGCCUGCACCCCGCCCCCAGGCCAUGGGGGCCCCGACCCCUGACCGAGUCGGCAGGCAUGGCUCAGCAAGUCGCUCAGAACUUUCGGUAUACUUCCCCGCUAUGCUUGCCGCCAACAUAGUUUGCCUUAGAGACUGCAUAUCAGCGGGCACCGGAUGCUUUCCUCGCGACCUCGCGAAAGUCAAUUGUCCAUGGACCGCGAAGGCACUUCUCGCUCCGCCCGAAUUUUCGCUGCCACCUAUUUACAUGCAAUAGGCAUUAACAAAUACUAUACGUAGCAGUCGCGGUUUGCGCCAGUAUGCUAUGUUUUGCUGACGCGCGGUUUGCCGCCGCUACAUAUUCUUUUGCUUUUCAUUCACAUUUGCUAUCCGUUCUGACGUCUGCCUGCCCCUGAAACCCCUUUGCCCGUCGCCUCCCCUGGUCCGCCUCCCCCUGGUCCGCCUCCCCCCUCCCCUGGCCCUGCACGCUUUUCUUCGAGCACGGACAGGGGUGUUCCUGGGGGGCUUCGCCCCCCCCCCCUGGAACGCUUCGCUGGGGGGGCUCAGCCCAAAAAGCAUACUUUUGAAGACAUUCAUGCUCUUCCCCGCUUUACAUGUGUUGCAGGUACCAGCUGGUGCCAGCUGUGCAGCGCGCGUGGCUUGCUUUUUAUGCAGGGUCGCCAGGUUGAGCGCACCUCCUGCUCAAGGUGUUUGACCUGUACAACAGCACGCAGCACUCAGCAGACCAAGGAGACACCUCUGCUUGCAUCUUCCGGGGUUUGGCCACCUGGGCCACCGCAGCUGGCGAGAAGAGCUUUGCCACGUUCUCACCCACGGCACCCAGGGCCAAACAAGGGGUGUCAGCUUUAUACAGCUGGAAAAUGGGCUGAGCCCCCGUACGCUUGGGAGAUAAUAGCCGUGUAACGCCCCGUCAGAGCCUCCAUGCCGCUACGACGCGCAGGCGCAUCGGCUAGGGACUCUCGGGUUGGGGCCGUGCGGGAUUUCCCGCGCCACGCAUGCGUGCCUUGCCACGUUCCCGAACACCCCAAGCAUUUCUUUUGCCUUCUGCCAUACUCAACACCUCCCCGGCGCCCCACGCUCGAAGGGCUAGGCGCAGGGCGGGGGCGACCUCGGGGCUUCUCGGCAUUCUGGCGCGUCGGCAGGCAUGGCUCAGCAAGUCGCUCAAAACUUUCGAUAUACUUCCCCGCUUUGCUUGCCGCCAACAUAGUUUGCCUUAGAGACUGCAUAUACAGCCACUCCAGUCGGUCAGGUAUGGACACAAUUGGUCCACCAGUCAACUAGUCUCCAGCCGUGCUGCCCUUGGUCCCCUCCGCCGCAAACCCCUCAACCAGCCCCCACCAGCCCCCCGUCCAACCACAACCCCUUAACAGCCCAGGACUGCAACACGUCUGAAGGCAGCCAGCCGCGCCCUGCUGCUUACCCUG